Molecule: ribosomal RNA, 809 nt
Filed under: uncultured bacterium
Lineage: Bacteria
Description: bacterial SSU rRNA
Rfam family: Bacterial small subunit ribosomal RNA
Source: RNAcentral
GAACGGGUGAGUAACACGUGGGUGAUCUGCCCUGCACUUUGGGAUAAGCCUGGGAAACUGGGUCUAAUACCGAAUAGGACCACGCGCUUCAUGGUGUGUGGUGGAAAGCUUUUGCGGUGUGGGAUGGGCCCGCGGCCUAUCAGCUUGUUGGUGGGGUAAUGGCCUACCAAGGCGACGACGGGUAGCCGGCCUGAGAGGGUGACCGGCCACACUGGGACUGAGAUACGGCCCAGACUCCUACGGGAGGCAGCAGUGGGGAAUAUUGCACAAUGGGCGCAAGCCUGAUGCAGCGACGCCGCGUGAGGGAUGACGGCCUUCGGGUUGUAAACCUCUUUCAAUAGGGACGAAGCGCAAGUGACGGUACCUAUAGAAGAAGCACCGGCCAACUACGUGCCAGCAGCCGCGGUAAUACGUAGUGUGCGAGCGUUGUCCGGAAUUACUGGGCGUAAAGAGCUCGUAGGUGGUUUGUCGCGUUGUUCGUGAAAACUCACAGCUUAACUGUGGGCGUGCGGGCGAUACGGGCAGACUAGAGUACUGCAGGGGAGACUGGAAUUCCUGGUGUAGCGGUGGAAUGCGCAGAUAUCAGGAGGAACACCGGUGGCGAAGGCGGGUCUCUGGGCAGUAACUGACGCCGAGGAGCGAAAGCGUGGGGAGCGAGCAGGAUUAGAUACCCUGGUAGUCCACGCCGUANACGGUGGGUACUAGGUGUGGGUUCCUUCCUUGGGAUCCGUGCCGUAGCUAACGCAUUAAGUACCCCGCCUGGGGAGUACGGCCGCAAGGCUAAAACUCAAAGGAAUUGACGGGGGCCC